UGGGGAAUAUUGCACAAUGGGCGCAAGCCUGAUGCAGCCAUGCCGCGUGUGUGAAGAAGGCCUUCGGGUUGUAAAGCACUUUCAGCGAGGAGGAAGGUGGUGAACUUAAUACGUUCAUCAAUUGACGUUACUCGCAGAAGAAGCACCGGCUAACUCCGUGCCAGCAGCCGCGGUAAUACGGAGGGUGCAAGCGUUAAUCGGAAUUACUGGGCGUAAAGCGCACGCAGGCGGUUUGUUAAGUCAGAUGUGAAAUCCCCGGGCUCAACCUGGGAACUGCAUUUGAAACUGGCAAGCUAGAGUCUCGUAGAGGGGGGUAGAAUUCCAGGUGUAGCGGUGAAAUGCGUAGAGAUCUGGAGGAAUACCGGUGGCGAAGGCGGCCCCCUGGACGAAGACUGACGCUCAGGUGCGAAAGCGUGGGGCAGCAAACAGGAUUAGAUACCCUGGUAGUCCACGCUGUAAACGAUGUCGAUUUGGAGGUUGUGCCCUUGAGGCGUGGCUUCCGGAGCUAACGCGUUAAAUCGACCGCCUGGGGAGUACGGCCGCAAGGUUAAAACUCAAAUGAAUUG
RNAcentral lists this ribosomal RNA (566 nucleotides) under uncultured bacterium. RNAcentral describes it as "partial 16S ribosomal RNA". It matches the Rfam family "Bacterial small subunit ribosomal RNA", at positions 355 to 912 of the family's 1533-position model. The record is from RNAcentral.